Molecule: long non-coding RNA, 650 nt
Filed under: Heterocephalus glaber (naked mole-rat)
Lineage: Eukaryota; Metazoa; Chordata; Mammalia; Rodentia; Bathyergidae
Description: lncRNA (ENSHGLG00100045702.1)
Source: RNAcentral
GCUGGCUUACUCCCGGGCCCUGAGAGCUGAGGGGGCAGAGUUUUCUAGCUUCCUUCACAUUCCUUCUUAGUGAUAGGAUUUAAGCCCCUCUCUCAGCUUUUUUGACUGUAAAAUCUGCAUUUCAAGCUUAACUUGCUUGGUUUGAAUUAUGGGAGUUUCUUUUUCCUGAAGAAGUCACUUCAGCGUCAGGAUAGCUGAGUUCAGAGCAAUUUGGACGCUAGCCUUGAACUCACUGUGGAGCCCAGGCUGGCCUUGAACAUGGCAGUCCUCCUGUCUCUGCAUCCUGACUGCUGGGAUUACAGGUCUGUGCCACCAUACCCAGUGUACAUCUUGGAGACAAUACCAGAAGAGGGGCCCAAUUCCAAGUACAGCUCCUAAGAGUGAGUUCUUGGGAGUGUGUUGAAAUUGGGAUAGGUAUGUGUUGAUCUUGCAUAGGUCCAUUGAAUCAAGGUGGGAUCUUUGAUGAUCCUUGGCCGUUAAGUUCCUUGUGCUGAUGCAGAUACUCCCAUUUAAGUGGGGCUCUAAUGGCCACCUGCUGGGCUUAUACUUUCUGGGCUUCUGGAGACAUGUAGUAGGCUGGGUUGAGGUUGGUGGGCAGAGUGGCCAGGCACAAUGCUUAUACUUUGGGAACAACAUUUUGGCUCUUGGCG